Molecule: long non-coding RNA, 266 nt
Filed under: Setaria viridis
Lineage: Eukaryota; Viridiplantae; Streptophyta; Magnoliopsida; Poales; Poaceae
Description: long non-coding RNA (SVIR_LNC005819)
Source: RNAcentral
GAAGACGAUGUUGAUAUAGUGGAAGUGUCUUUUAUUAAUUUGGUUAAUAGAAGAUUGGUACAUAACCUAGUGCUAAAACUAUGCAUUUUUUAUCCUAUGUUGUAGAUCAUAUAUGCUAGUAACAAUUCUAUUUUCAAUUUGCGAUCUGUGCUUGACAAGGAAAAGCUCAAUGGAGCUAAAUUUAUUGAUUGGUACCGCAACCUGUGAAUUGUUCUCACGCAAGAGAAAACUGAGUAUGUUCUUGAGCAACCACACCCAGAUGAUCC